RNAcentral lists this ribosomal RNA (1306 nucleotides) under uncultured bacterium. Its description in RNAcentral is "bacterial SSU rRNA". It matches the Rfam family "Bacterial small subunit ribosomal RNA", at positions 28 to 1381 of the family's 1533-position model. The record is from RNAcentral.
AACGUACGCUGGCGGCACGCCUAACACAUGCAAGUCGAACGAAGUAGCAAUACUUAGUGGCAGACGGGUGAGUAACAUGUAGGUAUCUGCCCUUUGGCCUGGAAUAACACGAGGAAACUUGUGCUAAUACCGGAUAAGUCUUUACAGAGAAAGCUUUAUGCACCAUUGGAUGAGCCUGCACUUGAUUAGUUUGUUGGUGGGGUAAUGGCCUACCAAGACUGUGAUCAAUAGCUGAUUUGAGAGGAUGAUCAGCCACAUUGGGACUGAGACACGGCCCAAACUCCUACGGGAGGCAGCAGUGGGGAAUCUUGCACAAUGGAGGAAACUCUGAUGCAGCGAUGCCGCGUGAGUGAAGAAGGCCCUUGGGUUGUAAAGCUCUUUCGUCGGGGAAGAAAAUGACUGUACCCGAAUAAGAAGGUCCGGCUAACUUCGUGCCAGCAGCCGCGGUAAUACGAAGGGACCUAGCGUAGUUCGGAAUUACUGGGCUUAAAGAGUUCGUAGGUGGUUGAAAAAGUUGGUGGUGAAAUCCCAGAGCUUAACUCUGGAACUGCCAUCAAAACUUUUCAGCUAGAGUAUGAUAGAGGAAAGCAGAAUUUCUAGUGUAGAGGUGAAAUUCGUAGAUAUUAGAAAGAAUACCAAUUGCGAAGGCAGCUUUCUGGAUCAUUACUGACACUGAGGAACGAAAGCAUGGGUAGCGAAGAGGAUUAGAUACCCUCGUAGUCCAUGCCGUAAACGAUGUGUGUUAGACGUCGGAAAUUUAUUUUCAGUGUCGCAGCGAAAGCGAUAAACACACCGCCUGGGGAGUACGACCGCAAGGUUAAAACUCAAAUGAAUUGACGGGGACCCGCACAAGUAGUGGAGCAUGUGGUUUAAUUCGAAGAUACGCGCAGAACCUUACCAACACUUGACAUGUUCGUCGCGACUCUAAGAGAUUAGAGUUUUCGGUUCGGCCGGACGAAACACAGGUGCUGCAUGGCUGUCGUCAGCUCGUGUCGUGAGAUGUUGGGUUAAGUCCCGCAACGAGCGCAACCCUCACUUUUAGUUGCCAUCAUUAAGUUGGGCACUCUGAAAGAACUGCCAGUGAUAAGCUGGAGGAAGGUGGGGAUGACGUCAAGUCCUCAUGGCCCUUACGUGUUGGGCUACACACGUGCUACAAUGGUAUCUACAACAGGAAGCAAGACUGCGAAGUUAAGCAAAUCCCUAAAAGAUACCUCAGUUCGGAUUGCACUCUGCAACUCGAGUGCAUGAAGCUGGAAUUACUAGUAAUCGUGGAUCAGCGUGCCACGGUGAAUGCGUUCCCGGGUCU